RNAcentral lists this transfer RNA (144 nucleotides) under Janibacter sp. HTCC2649. Its description in RNAcentral is "tRNA-Pro". Lineage: Bacteria; Bacillati; Actinomycetota; Actinomycetes; Micrococcales; Intrasporangiaceae. The record is from RNAcentral.
UCGGCGGCGGUCCAGGCGCCGAGCGACUGCCGGAUCGGGGUUGUCGAUCGUCUUGGGCAGUCCGACGACCGUGAGCGGGUAGUCGUGCUCGGCGAGGUAGGCCGCGAGGUCGGCUGCGGUGGUGUUGGUGUCGUCGCCGCCGAU